UAGGGAAUCUUCGGCAAUGGACGAAAGUCUGACCGAGCAACGCCGCGUGAGUGAAGAAGGUUUUCGGAUCGUAAAACUCUGUUGUUAGAGAAGAACAAGGACGUUAGUAACUGAACGUCCCCUGACGGUAUCUAACCAGAAAGCCACGGCUAACUACGUGCCAGCAGCCGCGGUAAUACGUAGGUGGCAAGCGUUGUCCGGAUUUAUUGGGCGUAAAGCGAGCGCAGGCGGUUUCUUAAGUCUGAUGUGAAAGCCCCCGGCUCAACCGGGGAGGGUCAUUGGAAACUGGGAGACUUGAGUGCAGAAGAGGAGAGUGGAAUUCCAUGUGUGGCGGUGAAAUGCGUAGAUAUAUGGAGGAACACCAGUGGCGAAGGCGGCUCUCUGGUCUGUAACUGACGCUGAGGCUAGAAAGCGUGGGGAGCAAACAGG
RNAcentral lists this ribosomal RNA (429 nucleotides) under Gemmatimonadota bacterium. RNAcentral's name for it is "Gemmatimonadetes bacterium partial 16S ribosomal RNA". It matches the Rfam family "Bacterial small subunit ribosomal RNA", at positions 355 to 776 of the family's 1533-position model. The record is from RNAcentral. Lineage: Bacteria; Pseudomonadati; Gemmatimonadota.